This 444-nucleotide ribosomal RNA is filed under the name uncultured organism. Its description in RNAcentral is "partial 16S ribosomal RNA". It matches the Rfam family "Bacterial small subunit ribosomal RNA", at positions 335 to 796 of the family's 1533-position model. The record is from RNAcentral.
ACUCCUACGGGAGGCAGCAGUGGGGAAUAUUGGACAAUGGGCGCAAGCCUGAUCCAGCCAUGCCGCGUGAGUGAUGAAGGCCCUAGGGUUGUAAAGCUCUUUCACCGGUGAAGAUAAUGACGGUAACCGGAGAAGAAGCCCCGGCUAACUUCGUGCCAGCAGCCGCGGUAAUACGAAGGGGGCUAGCGUUGUUCGGAUUUACUGGGCGUAAAGCGCACGUAGGCGGACUAUUAAGUCAGGGGUGAAAUCCCGGGGCUCAACCCCGGAACUGCCUUUGAUACUGGUAGUCUUGAGUUCGAGAGAGGUGAGUGGAAUUCCGAGUGUAGAGGUGAAAUUCGUAGAUAUUCGGAGGAACACCAGUGGCGAAGGCGGCUCACUGGCUCGAUACUGACGCUGAGGUGCGAAAGCGUGGGGAGCAAACAGGAUUAGAUACCCGAGUAGUCC